RNAcentral lists this ribosomal RNA (460 nucleotides) under uncultured bacterium. Its description in RNAcentral is "partial 16S ribosomal RNA". It matches the Rfam family "Bacterial small subunit ribosomal RNA", at positions 338 to 795 of the family's 1533-position model. The record is from RNAcentral.
CCUACGGGGUGCAGCAGUGCGGAAUAUUGGUCAAUGGACGAGAGUCUGAACCAGCCAAGUAGCGUGAAGGAUGACUGCCCUAUGGGUUGUAAACUUCUUUUAUAUGGGAAUAAAACGUUCCACGUGUGGGAUUUUGUAUGUACCAUAUGAAUAAGGAUCGGCUAACUCCGUGCCAGCAGCCGCGGUAAUACGGAGGAUCCGAGCGUUAUCCGGAUUUAUUGGGUUUAAAGGGAGCGUAGGUGGAUUGUUAAGUCAGUUGUGAAAGUUUGCGGCUCAACCGUAAAAUUGCAGUUGAAACUGGCAGUCUUGAGUACAGUAGAGGUGGGCGGAAUUCGUGGUGUAGCGGUGAAAUGCUUAGAUAUCACGAAGAACUCCGAUUGCGAAGGCAGUUCACUGGACUGCAACUGACACUGAGGCUCGAAAGUGUGGGUAUCAAACAGGAUUAGAUACCCUAGUAGUC